AGGAGCGUCUCUGCCCGGCAGCCCAUAA
Molecule: non-coding RNA, 28 nt
Filed under: Homo sapiens (human)
Lineage: Eukaryota; Metazoa; Chordata; Mammalia; Primates; Hominidae
Source: RNAcentral